Molecule: ribosomal RNA, 424 nt
Filed under: uncultured Oscillospiraceae bacterium
Lineage: Bacteria; Bacillati; Bacillota; Clostridia; Eubacteriales; Oscillospiraceae
Description: bacterial SSU rRNA
Rfam family: Bacterial small subunit ribosomal RNA
Source: RNAcentral
CGGGGAAUAUUGGGCAAUGGGCGAAAGCCUGACCCAGCAACGCCGCGUGAAGGAAGAAGGUUUUCGGAUUGUAAACUUCUUUUAUCAGGGACGAAGAAAGUGACGGUACCUGAUGAAUAAGCCACGGCUAAUUACGUGCCAGCAGCCGCGGUAAUACGGAGGAUGCAAGCGUUAUCCGGAUUCAUUGGGUUUAAAGGGUGCGCAGGCGGCGCGAAAAGUCAGCGGUCAAAGUUCCGGGCUCAACCCGGUGACGCCGUUGAAACUUCGUGCUGGAGUUCGUGCGAGGGAGGCGGAAUGCGUUGUGUAGCGGUGAAAUGCAUAGAUAUGACGCAGAACCCCGAUUGCGAAGGCAGCUUUCCAGCACGCGACUGACGCUGAGGCACGAAAGCGUGGGGAGCGAACAGGGAUUAGAUACCCUGGUAGU